CCCUACGGGAGGCAGCAGUGGGGAAUAUUGGGCAAUGGGCGCAAGCCUGACCCAGCAACGCCGCGUGAGGGAUGACGGCCCUACGGGUUGUAAACCUCUUUUGUCGGGGAGCAAGACCCGCCACGAGUGGCGGAGCGAGAGUACCCGAAGAAAAAGCAUCGGCUAACUCCGUGCCAGCAGCCGCGGUAAUACGGAGGAUGCGAGCGUUAUCCGGAUUUAUUGGGUUUAAAGGGUGCGCAGGCGGACCAUCAAGUCAGCGGUAAAAUCGUGGGGCCCAACCCCAUCCCGCCGUUGAAACUGGCGGG
RNAcentral lists this ribosomal RNA (305 nucleotides) under uncultured bacterium. RNAcentral's name for it is "bacterial SSU rRNA". It matches the Rfam family "Bacterial small subunit ribosomal RNA", at positions 337 to 640 of the family's 1533-position model. The record is from RNAcentral.